GAUGAACGCUGGCGGCGUGCCUAAUACAUGCAAGUCGAGCGAACAGAUAAGGAGCUUGCUCCUUUGACGUUAGCGGCGGACGGGUGAGUAACACGUGGGUAACCUACCUAUAAGACUGGAAUAACUCCGGGAAACCGGGGCUAAUGCCGGAUAACAUGUUGAACCGCAUGGUUCUACAGUGAAAGGCGGCUUUGCUGUCACUUAUAGAUGGACCCGCGCCGUAUUAGCUAGUUGGUGGGGUAACGGCUCACCAAGGCAACGAUACGUAGCCGACCUGAGAGGGUGAACGGCCACACUGGGACUGAGACACGGUCCAGACUCCUACGGGAGGCAGCAGUAGGGAAUGUUCCGCGAUGGGCGAAAGCCUGACGGAGCAGCGCCGCGUGAGUGAUGAAGGUCUUCGGAUCGUAAAACGCUGUUAUUAGGGAAGAACAAUUGCGGAAGUAACUGUGCGCGUCUUGACGGUACCUAAUCAGAAAGCCACGGCUAACUACGUG
Molecule: ribosomal RNA, 497 nt
Filed under: uncultured bacterium
Lineage: Bacteria
Description: partial 16S ribosomal RNA
Rfam family: Bacterial small subunit ribosomal RNA
Source: RNAcentral